UUGCAAACAAGAUCACUAGCCCAGUAUUUUGUUGCUGAAGCAAGGGGAACAUGUCUGCUAAAAAAAAGUGAUUAUAGAAGUGUAUGAACAUACAUUUAUGCUUUGUGUCCAACUUCUAUAUCAUUACACUU
Small nucleolar RNA from Pelobates fuscus (common spadefoot toad), 131 nucleotides. NCBI's taxonomy places the organism in Eukaryota, Metazoa, Chordata, Amphibia, Anura, Pelobatidae. The record is from RefSeq and is a predicted model, not a curated record.